UGGGGAAUAUUGCACAAUGGGCGAAAGCCUGAUGCAGCAACGCCGCGUGAGUGAUGAAGGUCUUCGGAUUGUAAAGCUCUGUCUUUUGGGACGAUAAUGACGGUACCAAAGGAGGAAGCCACGGCUAACUACGUGCCAGCAGCCGCGGUAAUACGUAGGUGGCGAGCGUUGUCCGGAUUUACUGGGCGUAAAGGGUGCGUAGGCGGAUGUUUAAGUGAGAUGUGAAAUACCCGGGCUUAACUUGGGUGCUGCAUUUCAAACUGGAUAUCUAGAGUGCAGGAGAGGAGAAUGGAAUUCCUAGUGUAGCGGUGAAAUGCGUAGAGAUUAGGAAGAACACCAGUGGCGAAGGCGAUUCUCUGGACUGUAACUGACGCUGAGGCACGAAAGCGUGGGUAGCAAACAGGAUUAGAUACCCUGGUAGUCCACGCCGUAAACGAUGAGUACUAGGUGUAGGAGGUNUCGACCCCUUCUGUGCCGCAGUAAACACAUUAAGUACUCCGCCUGGGAAGUACGAUCGCAAGAUU
RNAcentral lists this ribosomal RNA (524 nucleotides) under uncultured bacterium. RNAcentral describes it as "partial 16S ribosomal RNA". It matches the Rfam family "Bacterial small subunit ribosomal RNA", at positions 355 to 895 of the family's 1533-position model. The record is from RNAcentral.